Long non-coding RNA from Capra hircus (goat), 4996 nucleotides. RefSeq lists it as uncharacterized. The record is from RefSeq and is a predicted model, not a curated record. NCBI's taxonomy places the organism in Eukaryota, Metazoa, Chordata, Mammalia, Artiodactyla, Bovidae. The transcript is spliced from 2 exons.
AAUCCCAUGGACAGAGGAGCCUGGUAGGCUACAGUCCAUGGGGUCGCAAAGAAUCAGACACAACUGAGCGACUUCACUUUCCAUCCAAUCAGGUAACAUGGUUUUAUACCCUUGCUUACAGAUUCCAAAGAACUUUCACGUACAGCAUCCCGUUUGAUCCUUUCGCUCCUGUGUACUGAACCAUGCAGAAUUGAAGCUGCCUUCCCCCAGUGGACCAGUAUCCGACGAGGCACACUUUCCUCUCUUCAGCCAAGCACACGAUCCACAAGCAGGGGUGACAGUCUUGCUCAGUGUGCCUGACUCUGCCCUGGGCACCGCCUUCCCCUCAGUUCAGGGUCUCUGCUCUGGUUCCCUGUUGGUGUGAAGCGCAGCAUGGAUCAUGUGUCCACAUGUGAGGGAUGAAGGAAGUGAAGAGGGUGGAAAGCGGAUUCAUGGAAAGGAAAGCCGUAUUCAUUCCUCCCUUUAAAUAGCUAGUGUCUCCCAUGCACUUGAAAUGUCCAGUGCUGGGCACACACCGUGAUGACAGCAGGCUGAGCCCAGCCUCUCGAGCCCACAUUCAGGUGGGCGAGACCCUCACCAGGGAGAGUUUCUAGUACUGUUGAGAGAAAAAGGCAGGAAGGGGCCGGCAAGGGCCAGGUGAAGGGGGAGGACACAAAACCCUGCAAGCGUUUCCAUCCUCACGGAUGGUAUGGUUGUGUUUGUUCAACGAGGCCGCAUUGGUGAGCGCUGACACCCUGUCUCUGUGUGUUCCUCUGCAUCUGGAGAGGCUGUGUUCCCAGCCUGGCUCUGCUGCCUUGUGCCCAGGCUGAGCCCCUUGGCGUUUCCUUGUCUUGCUGGCCAGCGGGGAAUGGUGGGUGCAUGAGCCAGGUUCAGUUGUCACAUUGCACUGAUGGUGUGGGCUGGUGUCUCCUCACAAUGGAAACGCAGGCCAAGCCACACCCCAGGAUGGUUUUUGCAGAACUUCAGAACUCAUGACCGAAACCAGAUCCUCCCACUUCCAGCCUCUGGAGGGUGAUGCCGCUUGUCAGGAGGAAAGACUGUCUGGAACACUGGCAAACUGAUCUGAGAGGCGGGAGAGAGGGUUAACCGAGGAGGUUUCCCUCUCAAGUCUGCAAGUUGGCCUCUGUGGUGUUCAACCUGUGCCCCUUCCCACCCCCUAAAUGAAGAAAAUAAAAGGACAGCAAUAUCGAGGUCCUGGAAUCCUUGAGAAACCUUUGUUUAUGCCUUUUCAUCUAUCUCUAAAACCUGGACUUGAAUUGCCCAGGAUGCUGGUGAUGGGUCAGUGGAGCUGGGAUGCAAGUAGCUACUUGGGGCAGGGUGGGGGGCUCUUGGUAGAGAUCCUGCGCCCUCAGAGCUGAGGAGGACACUCAGGAGGUCUUCUGACACCUGUCCGACUGGUUUCUAGGGAGGGUAGCUAGGCGUGUAUUUGCAUAUAAAUGAAAGCACCUUAGGGCAUCACUACUGAAAACCUUUGAAAGUGGGAUACAGUUAAGUGCCUGUAUUAAAAGAAAGCCCAGCUCUUAUCUCGCAUUAAGACUCUGCAGCAUUUAAUAAACGCAUAUUAGUGUUUGACGACUCCUCGUCUCUGUAUUCUUUUCCCUCCAGCACUGCUGUCUCCACAGGGGUGGCUCGCUUCCCAAUUUGAAGUGGUGACUUAAGUCUUUGGUGGAGUCUGCACAGCUCUUGAAAAGGAUAAGCAGUAGAGUUUGAUGUCUGGAGUCCCGUGGUCUAGUUAUUUUUGGUGGAAUUUUUAAAAAAAUGUUAGAACUGAGUCGCAGGUUUGUGGUAAUAGUGGAUCCAGGAAGCUUGCAGUGAAAAAGAGGAUGAACUUAACCUGAAAAAUAUUUCUCUAUUCUAUAAAUCUCUCAGUGACAUUUGGAUUAAUCAAGCAUAAUUAAAUGUAGUUAGAUUUUUGUCAGAUUGUGGUUUAAAAUAAUAUUCAUCUAUGAAGAGAGUAAUGUAUUCUGUAGAAAUUUUAUUAGGCACUUUAGUUAAGCAAAUACUAAGAACAAAAUCAGCCUCAGGAAGGUUAAUUACCAAAAAAAAAGUAUAGUAGAUUAUGUAAAUCAUUUUAAUUUUGAAUACCAUGGCUGAAGCUUUAAUUUACAUAGAGAAGUAUUUUGGAUUUGUUUUUCACAUCACAUUUUUCAAAAGUACAAAAUUGUGAUUGCAUUCUUUAAAAGUUCUCAUCAUUUGAGGAUUCCAUUAAGUCUGCUUAACUUUUUCAUGUUAUAGUUUCCAAAAGUGAAGAAUUAUAGUUGCAUUCUUUAAUAUGCCAACUAAUUUUAACAGUUGCUUUAAAGGGAGAGAGAGAGCAAAUUGAUUUUAGAAGUUGGUUUUUUUUUUUUUUGUAUUCAGUUACAUUUUCACUACCCUUGCAUGUCUCAGGGAAUAGCCUUUGAUAAGAUUCCUCAUGGAUAUCUCUGGAAGUCUAUUCUGGUGUGCUCAGAUUUGAUCAUUCUUGUCUAAACUUCUAGAGCUAAAGUUUGAAACGUGUUGUCAUCUCAGGAACACAAGGUUACCCAAGAAACUUGAACUCCAUCUUUAUCAGUUCUCAGAUUCUGUGUGCUUUUUCAUAAUAAAAGGACACCUUAAAGUCCUUUGUGUAGUAGGUAUAAAGACCUCCUUAUCGCUCUUCUCUGAGAUUUUCAUAGAAGAACCCUGCAUUUUGAUUUUGUUUGAUCAUUUUGCUUCUUGACUUUUCAGUGAAGAUUCUAUUUCCCACUGGAAUUGAAUCCUUGUGGGAUAACAAAAUUUCACUUAAAAGUACAUUCUGUUAGAUAAUUCUAACUUUUGACAACCUCUAAGUGGCCUGCUAAUUUUUGCAAAUGGGCCAAAACAGCACAAAUGUCAAAGAUAUAAGCUCUGUGUUCGCCCUGUAGUUAGCCAAGUAAAGAAAUGUCUAAUCCUAGCACUUAGGAGCGGCUUAAUAGCUCUUCAGUUUAUCUCUGCAUUCCAAAUUGGUUGAAAAUGGCACAUUCAGAAUGGAAUGCUUAUUAAUAACAGAACUAGUUAAUGUUUUAAAAUAGUCUUACCUUGAGAUUCUUUUUGAGAAAAAAGUGACUCUUAACAUUCAGUUCUGUUUUGGCUCUUCAUACAUGCCGUGAUCGGAAGUCACAGACAUUUGCCAUUUAGCCAUGCUUGAUGUACAAGAACAGUGAUGAAGAGUUGACAAAAACAGGCAGAAUGGAUAUAAGAUGCUACAUUGCUGCUGAGAAUGCAUCAUAGCACCGCUUUCUUGUAAAUUCCAUUUUCUUUUGCCAUUUGAACUUUUAUAUCCAUGAGAAACCUCAGUCAGUAUUUCUAAAGACAUUAUAUUUACAUUAAGAAUUGGCCUGUGCCUUUACCAAAAACUUCCUUUACCUAGAACUUCCCUGGUGGCUCAGACGGUAAAGUGUCUGCCUAUAAUGUGGGAGACCCGGGUCAAUCCCUGGGUCAGGAAGAUGAUCUGGAGAAGGAAAUGGCACCCCACUCCAGUAUUCUUGCCUGGAAAAUCCCAUGGACAGAGGAGCCUGGUAGGCUACAGUCCAUGGGGUCCCAAAGAGUUGGACACAACUGAGCGACUUCACUUUCACUUUUACCUAAAACACUGCUGAGGUCAUUGUCUGCCAUAUUUAAUUAGGACAAAUGUUUUAGAGUCAUUACAACUGAAGCCUGUAGGGAUCUGAAAACGCGGGACCACCUGCCGCUGCCAAGGAACCAGGCUGGGUGGCAGGCUUCGCAGCCUGGUGUGUGCCGAUGGCUGUCACAACUAGUAUAAAACCUAAAAUAGAUGCUAGCCACGAUCCCGUAUCUGCUCCUGUUUUCUCUACCUGCCUUUGUAACUCUUGGGGAAAAUGUAUGUCAAGUCCUUUGAUGUCUUGCUCUUUUAAAUUCCUGUUCAUGCUGGUGUGUGAAUUUGACCAAUAAGUUGUGCAUGUGCUUAAUAUUCUUUUUUAAACUAGACCAAACUAAAUAUAUCUUGGCUCUGAGUAAACAGCCAAGGCAGGGUUUACCUAGAAGGUAUAAAGUUUAAGCACUUUAAAAAUGCAAGUUGGCUGUAUUCAGGGUUGGAGGAAUCCAGUGUGGUUGCCUCUUUGUUUCUGUUGUUCACUGUUGUUAUUCUGUCCUCAACGCGCUGCACUGGAAUCAAAUGCUCCACUCUGCUGAAACACCUAGGCUGUGUUCAAGUCACUACUGGACAGCAUGACACACAUUUUAAGAGAGUGAACCCUACCCCAUUAGCAUCCUGGCUGACCCCAAUCUCUGCAGGGUUCCUUGGUGUUAAAGUCAUUUGAAGUUGUGAUUGCUGCUUUGGGUUUAUAUACUAAUCAUGCCAUCUGUUGCUCUAAGUUCACAUCCUUACAAAAGUACAUGAGUGCUUGUAAUGUCAAUAUUUCCCAGAUUUAGAAUACAAGUUGUGAAUACUCAUGAAGUGCUUGAACCGAAAAAGAAAAGUCAAUGUGAAGUAGAAUAUACUAUUGUGGACAAAUUUAAUGUUGCAUUGAAAUGUAAAGUCACUUGGCUGAUUUUUUUUUUUUUAAUCAUCACUGCUUAACUCAUGAACAAUGCCUAAACUGAGAACGUGAGCUGAUUUAACAAGAGAAGAGUAAUGUAUAUAUGAAAUGAAAGUUCAUUACCACGUUUGUGUCCCUAAGUCCAAAUCUGACCUGCUUGGCUUUGAGCAGCAGUCAGUUUAGUUGCAGUGAAAUGUACGUGUGUUUCCAGGGUUCACGAACUGCCUCAUGUUUAUAGAGGGAAGCCCGGCCCCUUGUGUUCUGUGCUAUUCUGUGGCCUGGCUGGUACACACUAUCACGAGUGAAGAAUGACUUUGGUUUGAGGGUUUGUUUUUGUGAUGGUUGGAAAAACAUGACUGGGGAAGUGUGUGGCUCAGAUAAUGUCCCCCAUCAGUCGGGGAGUCAUCUGUGGUGUGUGUAAUAGCCAGACGAAUCCUGGAGCAUGUGGGCAGUCCUGUACACAGUCAUUGAACAAUAAAGUGGUGGUUGUGUUUCCCUGA